RNAcentral lists this long non-coding RNA (508 nucleotides) under Chloebia gouldiae (Gouldian finch). RNAcentral's name for it is "Erythrura gouldiae (Gouldian finch) lncRNA (ENSEGOG00005001465.1)". The record is from RNAcentral. Lineage: Eukaryota; Metazoa; Chordata; Aves; Passeriformes; Passeridae.
CCUAAUUGAGCAAUGCUUUUGUUGUGUUUUGUAUCAGGCACACAGCAACAGGCAGGGUGGGUGUGCAUGCGAUGUGUAUUGGAGAAAGAGGCGCCUUAUAACGACAAACACAUUCAAGACCUUCUGACCACCACUGUUGCUGCCCAGUAUGAAACUUCCUACAUCCUGCAUGAGUGUUUAGACUGAAUAUAAACGCAGCGGCAGCAGCACCACUGAUUAUUCAGAUGGGAAUUUGUAUAAGUGUUAUACUUGGCUCCAGUCCUGCAAACAGUUGUGCCCACAAAAAACUUUACCCACACUAGGAGCUCCACGGAUCACAGCUUCUCUUUCAACCACUGAAUUAUAUGAAGUUACUCAGCAGUUAAAUUACUCAUAAGCAUAUGUGUUUGCUGUAUCAGGGCUUCUCCAUGUAAGAUCGAUCUUUAUAAUUAAUUUAAGACACCUAUACAUUUCUUUUUAGAUACAGGAAGUAAAUCCUUGGAAAGUUGUAAUAAACUUUGGAGCUGCA